GGGCGGGUGGCGAAAUUGGUAGACGCACUACCUUGAGGUGGUAGCGGCCGCAAGGCUUUAAGGGUUCAAAUCCCUUCCCGCCCACCA
This 87-nucleotide transfer RNA is filed under the name Candidatus Uhrbacteria bacterium. RNAcentral describes it as "tRNA-Leu". It matches the Rfam family "tRNA". Rfam says of the family: Transfer RNA (tRNA) molecules are approximately 80 nucleotides in length. Their secondary structure includes four short double-helical elements and three loops (D, anti-codon, and T loops). The record is from RNAcentral. Lineage: Bacteria; Candidatus Uhriibacteriota.